This 30-nucleotide non-coding RNA is filed under the name Mus musculus (house mouse). The record is from RNAcentral. Lineage: Eukaryota; Metazoa; Chordata; Mammalia; Rodentia; Muridae.
UGUCUGUACCAUGUAGGACUCAUUUCAGCC